RNAcentral lists this ribosomal RNA (500 nucleotides) under uncultured bacterium. RNAcentral's name for it is "partial 16S ribosomal RNA". It matches the Rfam family "Bacterial small subunit ribosomal RNA", at positions 30 to 523 of the family's 1533-position model. The record is from RNAcentral.
AUUGAACGCUGGCGGAAUGCUUUACACAUGCAAGUCGAACGGCAGCACGGACUUCGGUCUGGUGGCGAGUGGCGAACGGGUGAGUAAUGUAUCGGAACGUGCCCAGUCGUGGGGGAUAACGUAGUGAAAAUUACGCUAAUACCGCAUACGAUCUAUGGAUGAAAGCGGGGGAUCGCAAGACCUCGCUCGAUUGGAGAGGCCGAUAUCAGAUUAGGUAGUUGGUGGGGUAAAGGCCCACCAAGCCAACGAUCUGUAGCUGGUCUGAGAGGACGACCAGCCACACUGGAACUGAGACACGGUCCAGACUCCUACGGGAGGCAGCAGUGGGGAAUUUUGGACAAUGGGCGAAAGCCUGAUCCAGCCAUUCCGCGUGCAGGAUGAAGGCCCUCGGGUUGUAAACUGCUUUUGUACAGAACGAAAAGGUUUCUACUAAUACUAGGAGCUCAUGACGGUACUGUAAGAAUAAGCACCGGCUAACUACGUGCCAGCAGCCGCCGCGG